This is a long non-coding RNA of Rhododendron vialii, 879 nucleotides long. RefSeq lists it as uncharacterized. NCBI's taxonomy places the organism in Eukaryota, Viridiplantae, Streptophyta, Magnoliopsida, Ericales, Ericaceae. The transcript has 2 exons. The record is from RefSeq and is a predicted model, not a curated record.
AUGAUCCGAUUUGUCCACAUUGUAGAGCUUGUCAAUUAAAAUGAUUUUGUUAGAUUUCAAGUCAAUCGGAUGCUUCUUGGUAUCUAAUCGGAGAAGAUAUAUGUCGAAAAAAAUUGAAAAAAAGUGAACCGGGAACACUUGAUUACAACUUCAUAAAACUUUUUUCCUCCUCCGGGUCGAGACUCGCAGUCCGUCAUAACAACGUCGCCGAUCCAAGUCGACCUUCCGAGUUCCGAUCAAUUAGUCAGCCGUCAGAGGUGUGUUCGCAACUCGGGCGAUCGGAGCUGGUGAGCUCAUCCACGCGGCCACACCCAUCGUCUCUUUCUGCUAUUUGUGCCUCAGAAUGGGAGGAACAAUCUAAGGUAAAUUGGCCCCCUACCUCAUCAAAUGCUUCAAAUAUGUCAAUACUUGGUUGGUGAAUAGUGCAGACUAUUGUUCUUCCCGUAUCAGCCACAUUCUUCACGGCUCGCAUAACAAUAGCAGCUGCUCUUGCAUCCAACCCAGUUGUAGGUUCAUCCAUGAAGAUAAUAGAGGGGUUAGCAACAAGCUCCACUGCUAUUGUAAGCCUCUUUCGCUGUUCAAUAGAUAAACCACUUACGCCAGGAAUUCCGACCAAGCAAUCCAUUAUUUCAUCAAGCUCAAUGAUCUCAAGGACUUCUCUCACAAAUUCCUGUCAAUAUAUGUAGCAGCUAUCAAAAUGAAAUAUUGUCAUAGUAAUUGAGAAGAGUUAAAGAGUAAAUUCAACUUGUGUAUAGAAUGUAAAUCAGUCUUACAAUCUUAGUUUUUGAAUCAAUUUCAGGAUGCAGACGUAGCCAGGCAGAAUGAACCACUGAUUCUUCUAUUGUGAUAUAUGGGGAAUGUACGUCUGUUUGCUCACAG